Molecule: long non-coding RNA, 215 nt
Filed under: Hordeum vulgare
Lineage: Eukaryota; Viridiplantae; Streptophyta; Magnoliopsida; Poales; Poaceae
Description: long non-coding RNA (HVUL_LNC015502)
Source: RNAcentral
CUGGAGACACUUCCCGGCACCCUGCCGGAGGGGAUUUUGGAGGUGGAGGGCUUCUUCAUCAUCAUCAUCGCCCCUCCAAUGACUGGUGAGUAGUUCACUUCAGACCUACGGGUUCGUAGUUAGUAGCUAGAUGGCUUCUUCUCUCUCUUGGAUCUUCAAUAUAAAGUUCUCCAUGAUCUUGAUGGAGAUCUAUCUGAUGUAAUAUUCUUUGGCGG